RNAcentral lists this ribosomal RNA (30 nucleotides) under Chaetomium globosum. RNAcentral describes it as "partial 18S ribosomal RNA". Lineage: Eukaryota; Fungi; Ascomycota; Sordariomycetes; Sordariales; Chaetomiaceae. The record is from RNAcentral.
GGGGAAUUUUAGGAGCUGCAAACUCCCCUA